GAGAAUGUAACAAUGGUGGCGAAGUUGGAGGGGAUCCCCGGAGCUCCGUUUAGAGGGAUUUGUAUGUCAAAUGUGACGGCCGUGAAGAACGUGGAGUCGAAGAAGUUGCAGUGGAACUGCACGUAUGUGGAGGGCGUGGCCGGGGGCGUGAGUCCGGCGCCGUGUGAGGCGCUGCCGGUGACGGAUGUGUCAUGUCCGUUUCCUAUUGAUUGGGCUUAAGUUGAAAGCAUUGAUCUCAUGGGUUAAACUGUGAUGAUGUAGGAAAUGUACUGAUCGUGAGC
Molecule: unclassified non-coding RNA, 281 nt
Filed under: Hevea brasiliensis (rubber tree)
Lineage: Eukaryota; Viridiplantae; Streptophyta; Magnoliopsida; Malpighiales; Euphorbiaceae
Source: RNAcentral